This 379-nucleotide ribosomal RNA is filed under the name uncultured cyanobacterium. RNAcentral describes it as "bacterial SSU rRNA". It matches the Rfam family "Bacterial small subunit ribosomal RNA", at positions 376 to 770 of the family's 1533-position model. The record is from RNAcentral. Lineage: Bacteria; Bacillati; Cyanobacteriota.
CGAAAGCCUGACGGAGCAAGACCGCGUGGGGGAUGAAGGUUUGUGGAUUGUAAACCCCUUUUGAUUGGGAAGAAUAACUGACGGUACCAAUCGAAUAAGCCUCGGCUAACUCCGUGCCUGCAGCCGCGGUAAUACGGAGGAGGCAAGCGUUAUCCGGAAUUAUUGGGCGUAAAGCGUCCGUAGGUGGUUUAGUAAGUCUGCUGUUAAAGCGCGGGGCUUAACCCUGUAUCGGCAGUGGAAACUACUAGACUAGAAUGUGGUAGGGGUAGAGGGAAUUCCCAGUGUAGCGGUGAAAUGCGUAGAUAUUGGGAAGAACACCGGUGGCGAAGGCGCUCUACUGGGCCAUAACUGACACUGAUGGACGAAAGCUAGGGGAGCG